UGGUGUCAUGUGUCGGAGUCGGAUGAUCCGUUUUCCUCUUGUGGGACCACAUUAUACCAGCCAGUCUGUUGCCCUAACGGCCCAUCCAUUGGACUGUGCUUAACAUUUUGGGCUUUUGCAAGGCCUUCCGCUGGGCCCAAUUUUUAACAGAUAUAGAUACUUGCCUAUUUUGACCUUGCUAAACGGUGUCGUUCCAUGUCCUCCUGCUAUUACAGUCCCACAUUACCACUAUCUCCGUAUCUCGGUUCUCUGAUUCUCUCGAGUUCUGACUCCUGAUGCCACCGCUUCCGCUUCACAUCAGCCUCCCGGAUAUCAGCUUUGAAGAAGAUGAUUGAGUCUCCCGCCUGUGGUAGGUAAUGCACUCAUAGCAAUCGAAGAUCUUGAAGAACUUCUAGUUGAUUGUGCAUUCGUCAAGGUUAAUUCACAAUACAAGAUUAGAUAGUUGAUCGAUGAAGACUCAAUUACGCCUGUCCAAUCUCUUUAAUCAGCUUUGGAGAACCAUUACACUCCUCAUUCAUUUCGUUUUCUCUCUCCACAACUUCAACAACAUCUUCGCACCACUAUUAAUGGGAGAGGUUCACCAGAGACCACGCCUUGAAGAAGGGAGAAGUAAUGAAGGAGGAAGAAGGUCGUGGUCGGGCACGAGCAGCAUAAGACCACACCACCUUAGCUCCACAUGUUUCGGGGCGUUGUUCAUGCUGUGAUCAAUGGUCCACAUCUACCUGAUAUCCUCAAGGAAUGAAAAAAAAAAAGUUUUUUGCAUAAUAAUUUGUGAUUUUUUAUCCAAAUGGGCAGAAAUCAAAAUAUUUAGAGUAAAUUACAUGAAUGGUCCCUAUGGUUUGAAGUAAUUUGCGUAUUUGGUCCCUAAACCAUAGGGACCAUAGUAAGGAUUCUCCUUUUUGUUAAAUCUACAAGGUCCGCAUUGUUAGACCAGUUGGUAUGGACAACACUCAUAUGCGCGAUUCCAA
This is a long non-coding RNA of Lactuca sativa (garden lettuce), 968 nucleotides long. RefSeq lists it as uncharacterized. NCBI's taxonomy places the organism in Eukaryota, Viridiplantae, Streptophyta, Magnoliopsida, Asterales, Asteraceae. The record is from RefSeq and is a predicted model, not a curated record.